This 222-nucleotide unclassified non-coding RNA is filed under the name plant metagenome. Its description in RNAcentral is "partial contains small subunit ribosomal RNA, internal transcribed spacer 1, and 5.8S ribosomal RNA". The record is from RNAcentral.
UUUCCGUAGGUGAACCUGCGGAAGGAUCAUUAAAGAACGCCCCGUUUUUUGAAAUGGGUAAUUCUAAACCGUGUAUACAUACCUUUGUUGCUUUGGCAGGCCGCCCCUCAGGGCGUCGGCUCCGGCUGACUGCGCCUGCCAGAGGACCCAAACUCUUUUGUUUAGUGAUGUCUGAGUACUACAUAAUAGUUAAAACUUUCAACAACGGAUCUCUUGGUUCUG